RNAcentral lists this ribosomal RNA (466 nucleotides) under uncultured bacterium. Its description in RNAcentral is "partial 16S ribosomal RNA". It matches the Rfam family "Bacterial small subunit ribosomal RNA", at positions 28 to 507 of the family's 1533-position model. The record is from RNAcentral.
GAUGAACGCUGGCGGCGUGCCUAACACAUGCAAGUCGAACGGAAAGGUCACAACUUGCUGUGGUACUCGAGUGGCGAACGGGUGAGUAAAACGUGGGGAAACCGUCCCUUACUUCGGGAUAAACUUGGGAAACUGGGUCUAAUACCGGAUAGGAAUUACAUGUGGGUGUGUGGCAGGAAUGCUAUUGCGGUAUGAGAUGAGCUCUCGGCCUAUCAGCUUGUUGGUGGGGUAAUGGCCUACCAAGGCGUCGACGGGUCGCCGACCUGGGAGCGUCCACGGCCACAUUGGGACUGCGAUACGCCGCAGACGCCAACGGGAGGCAACAGUAGAGAGUAUUGCACAGUGGGCGCGAGCCUGAUACGACGACGCCGCGUGGGGAAUGCCGGCCUUCGAGUUAUGAACUACUUUCUUCGGAGACGUGGCGAAAGUGACGGUACCUGGAUAGGAAGCCCCGGCUAACUACGUG